Molecule: ribosomal RNA, 76 nt
Filed under: Paenibacillus agri
Lineage: Bacteria; Bacillati; Bacillota; Bacilli; Caryophanales; Paenibacillaceae
Source: RNAcentral
UUUGGUGGCGAUGGCGGAGGGGUUCCACACGUACCCAUCCCGAACACGACCGUUAAGCCCUCCAGCGCCGAUGGUA